RNAcentral lists this long non-coding RNA (461 nucleotides) under Sus scrofa (pig). RNAcentral's name for it is "lncRNA (ENSSSCG00055026142.1)". The record is from RNAcentral. Lineage: Eukaryota; Metazoa; Chordata; Mammalia; Artiodactyla; Suidae.
AGCCGACGCAGGCAGCCGCCGGGUGAAGUACGCAGGUACCGCAGGUACCCGGCGCCCGCCCGAUUUCAGGGCAAGUUACUGUUUUCAGAAUCCAAGGGGAAUCUAACACCUAAACAAUGCCACGAGAAAAGGAAGGAAAACGAAAAACUAAAGGAGCACUCCUGCCCAUCAUUCCAACUCUUAAAAAGUUCCUGAAAACGUAUGAGAAGUAUUGUGCACAGACUCAGACGUCUGUGUGUCCAGCCAUCAAAAGGGACUUGAAAACCAGCAUCAAUAAUGAACAAAUUCUCAGGAAGUUUGUACUUGUAAGACCUGAUGACUCCCCGCCAGGCAUCCUACCAAUUUCCUUGGAACCUUUGCUCAUGACAGUUCAGGAUGAGUGUUUCACUCUGGGGAGAGAGAUCUGCAUUUGGGGCCUUCAACUGAGCAACCCAGAGAUGGCCAGACUCAUUUGGAAAUGA